This 86-nucleotide non-coding RNA is filed under the name Fictibacillus phosphorivorans. RNAcentral's name for it is "c-di-GMP sequence". It matches the Rfam family "c-di-GMP-I riboswitch aptamer". Rfam says of the family: GEMM was predicted in a large-scale screen for bacterial structured RNA regulatory elements. Genes associated with GEMM are involved in a diverse array of functions, including chemotaxis regulation, signal transduction, secretion and chitin. The record is from RNAcentral. Lineage: Bacteria; Bacillati; Bacillota; Bacilli; Caryophanales; Fictibacillaceae.
AAGAGAAUAAGGCAAACCCGCCGAAAGACGGGGACGCAAAGCCUACAGAUCUAAAGCAGAAUUGCUAGGAUGGCUGGGUUGCACAA